Molecule: non-coding RNA, 98 nt
Organism: Armillaria nabsnona
Lineage: Eukaryota; Fungi; Basidiomycota; Agaricomycetes; Agaricales; Physalacriaceae
Source: the annotation of a GenBank genome assembly
GGGUCGAUGGCGAAGUUGGUUAUUGCAUCCGUCUCACAUCGGCAUGCAUUGGUUCAUUCAUGCACGGAAGGUCCUCAGUUCGAUCCUGGGUUGACCCA